This 903-nucleotide ribosomal RNA is filed under the name uncultured Xiphinematobacteriaceae bacterium. Its description in RNAcentral is "bacterial SSU rRNA". It matches the Rfam family "Bacterial small subunit ribosomal RNA", at positions 65 to 942 of the family's 1533-position model. The record is from RNAcentral. Lineage: Bacteria; Pseudomonadati; Verrucomicrobiota; Spartobacteria.
GGGCGUAUUCUGAGAUUUCAUCUGUCUGGUGGCCGGUAGAGUUUGCUGGCGAAGGGGUGCUUCCCCCUGGGUGUCUGCAUUACAGUGGGGUGGCCUCGCCUAACAGCGAAUUAAUACCGCAUGUGGUGAGGGACGACAUCUUCCUGAGUCCAAAGCCGGGGCAACCUGGCGCUUUUUGAGGAGCCCGCGGCCUAUCAGCUAGUUGGUGAGGUAACGGCUCACCAAGGCUAUGUCGGGUAGCUGGUCUGAGAGGACGACCAGUCACACUGGAACUGAGACACGGUCCAGACACCUACGGGUGGCAGCAGUCGAGAAUUUUUCUCAAUGGGGGAAACCCUGAAGGAGCGACGCCGCGUGGAGGAUGAAGGCUUUCGGGUUGUAAACUCCUGUCAUUUGAGAACAAGUGUCGGUAACUAACUACUACCGGCUUGAUAGUAUCAGAAGAGGAAGAGACGGCUAACUCUGUGCCAGCAGCCGCGGUAAUACAGAGGUCUCAAGCGUUGUUCGGAUUCAUUGGGCGUAAAGGGUGCGUAGGUGGCGCGCUAAGUCAGGUGUGAAAUCUCGGGGCUUAACUCCGAAACUGCAUUUGAUACUGGCGUGCUUGAGGACUGGAGAGGAGACUGGAAUUUACGGUGUAGCAGUGAAAUGCGUAGAGAUCGUAAGGAAGACCAGUGGCGAAAGCGGGUCUCUGGACAGUUCCUGACACUGAGGCACGAAAGCCAGGGGAGCAAACGGGAUUAGAUACCCCGGUAGUCCUGGCAGUAAACGGUGCACGUUUGGUGUGAGAGGAUUCGACCCCUUUCGCCGCCGGAGCUAACGCGUUAAACGUGCCGCCUGGGGAGUACGGUCGCAGAUUAAAACUCAAAGGAAUUGACGGGGGCCCGCACAAGCGGUGGAGCAUGU